This 369-nucleotide ribosomal RNA is filed under the name uncultured phototrophic eukaryote. Its description in RNAcentral is "SSU rRNA". It matches the Rfam family "Bacterial small subunit ribosomal RNA", at positions 524 to 896 of the family's 1533-position model. The record is from RNAcentral.
UACGGGGGAUGCAAGCGUUAUCCGGAAUCAUUGGGCGUAAAGCGCCUGUAGGUUGUUUAAUAAGUCUGUUGUUAAAGCCUAGGGCUUAACCCUAGAAAAGCAAUGGAAACUACUAGACUAGAGUAUGGCAGGGGCAGAGGGAAUUUCUAGUGUAGCGGUGAAAUGCGUAGAUAUUAGAAAGAACACCGGUGGCGAAAGCGCUCUGCUGGACCAUUACUGACACUCAGAGGCGAAAGCUAGGGUAGCAAAAGGGAUUAGAUACCCCUGUAGUCCUAGCCGUAAACGAUGGAUACUAGAUGUUGUGCAUAAUGUACAGUGUCCUAGCUAACGCGUUAAGUAUCCCGCCUGGGGAGUACGCUCGCAAGGGUG